UAGGACCCUAAAAAGAAAGUCAGAAAAAGGGGUCCUAUUUCACCGGGUCCUAUUUCUCCAUGGCCUUUUUUUGGGUCCUAUUUCUCCGGGUCCUAUUUGUCUGGGUCCUAUUUCUCCGGCUACCGUGUCGAGUCGUGAUUGUGCCCAAGACCCAUGGGGUAAACGUGCUGCAAAAGCAUUUCUCUAAUAGGCAACUAAAGAUCCGCAUGAGGCUAUGUCAAUUUGCCUUACUGCCAGAACCUUACGGCUCACCAGUCCCAAGAAUAUAUUCCGCUAUUGUUACAUCUAAUUCUGUUACACGUUAUUUUCUUUUGAAAUUGAUAACACAUUUACUGCUCAAUGAGUUUUGAAGAAGGAUGGUGUUUGGCUAUUCGAUGUGGCAUCUGAUUUUCAAUGACAAAUAAACAACAGUGGCUGUUUGUUUAAAUUAAA
Molecule: long non-coding RNA, 432 nt
Organism: Daphnia magna
Lineage: Eukaryota; Metazoa; Arthropoda; Branchiopoda; Diplostraca; Daphniidae
Exons: 2
Source: RefSeq, a predicted model, not a curated record